ACUAUUCACAUUCGACUAAUCUUCAAAACCCUCAACCCACCUGCGAUUUUAACUUCUCCUCUGCCCACCUCUCUCGAAGCCCCCUCUCACUAUCUCUCGUUAAAUUCCUCACAGGUACAUGCGCAUCUCUCUCUCUCUCUUGUUUCCAGUUGUACUCUGAGAACGUCACCGGUCCUCUAAGCCAAGGAUGAAAGAGAACAUUGAGACGCCAACCGCCUAGCCUUUGUCUAGAAUCCAUCUUCGUGGGGUAUCAUGAAUUAAACAAUGUCGAUAUCACUGAUUCCGAUUUGUUCUAUCACAUUAGAGAUGCUCUUACUUUUAUUUCAAAGGGGGAUAGUGACAAGUAUAACCAACUUGUUGCAGUCAUGCACCACAGGGGACAUCUUGCUCCUGAUGAGGUUGCACUGCUCGUGUUUGAAGGCACUGUCUGUUACAGUUUCACAUAUCGAUAAUGUUCUUCAUCACUCUCUUCUUGCUUCUAUAUUCUCAAUGAACACGUGGUCCUGCAGGACUGAUGUGAUGGAUGCUCUAAUUAAUUAAACUAAUCAUUUUAUUGGCUGCUUCAAGUGGGAAAUAUGUUAAUUCGUGUUUAGGGUUGUUGGAAAUUUCACACCCCUUUCUUCAAUGAUAGAGUUUUUGAAAAAACCGCGAGGUAUUUCAAGAAAGAGCCAUGUUCUAUCUCGGGUGCAUUCAUCUUUGGAAGUCAUUGCUGAUUUGGUGCUGAUUUCUCCCAUGAGAUUGCAGCCAAUUGUAAUAUAGAGGAAGCCACACUAUACUUCUAAGGAAGUUGUGAGUUGCCUUGGUACUUUGCAUUUUCUAUUAAUCUUUCUGUACUAUAUAUACAACUCUAUUUGAUGCUUGGUCUUCUGAUUGUUUUA
Cannabis sativa is the source of this 878-nucleotide long non-coding RNA. RefSeq lists it as uncharacterized. The transcript is spliced from 5 exons. NCBI's taxonomy places the organism in Eukaryota, Viridiplantae, Streptophyta, Magnoliopsida, Rosales, Cannabaceae. The record is from RefSeq and is a predicted model, not a curated record.